RNAcentral lists this transfer RNA (72 nucleotides) under Ovis aries (sheep). RNAcentral describes it as "tRNA-Cys (ACA) (tRNA-Cys-ACA-1-1)". It matches the Rfam family "tRNA". From Rfam's summary of the family: Transfer RNA (tRNA) molecules are approximately 80 nucleotides in length. Their secondary structure includes four short double-helical elements and three loops (D, anti-codon, and T loops). The record is from Rfam by way of RNAcentral. Lineage: Eukaryota; Metazoa; Chordata; Mammalia; Artiodactyla; Bovidae.
GUUGCUAUAGCUCAGGGAUAGAGCAUUUGACUACAGAUCAAGAGGUCCCUGGUUCAAAUCCAGGUGCCAAUG